CGAGAUCCCGCCACUGCACUCCAGCCUGGGCGACAGAGCGAGACUCCGUCUCAAAAAAAAAAAAACAAUAAGGGCACUAAGAGCCACAAGCUAGGGGAAUAGUGGAAGGCAGGAGUUAGACCUAUGAUAAUCAAGCCUGACAGGGCUAAGUUUGAACUCUGUAUGAACUUUUAAUGAGAUAUAGCAGAACCCCUUAUUUGCAUCUCGUCCCUCUAAGAUGAGGUUUGCUGAGCUUCGGAAAUGGUUUAAUGAUAUACUCAAGAUGGAAAAGACUUGAAGUGAGUAAAUUACAGUUGGGCAAAUCAGUAACUGUCAAAAGAAGGAACGUUCCUGACCUCGGCCCAAGGGUAUCGCUGUGCUCUGCUUACUUUGUGCUCACCAUCAUCCUUUGGCCUUUCUUCUCUAACACAGUUCCUGUAUCCAGCCUCAUGCUUUGCUGUGCCUGUAACUGUCUUCUCCCCACAGAUAACCUGUCAUUGAAGUACAUGAAGAAAAUAGUCAAAUAUGUGCCCAUGGGUUUUCCUGAGUACUUCCUACAGGGUAUGCAGUCCACUCUGAAGAUCACAGCCUAGGACCAUAAGUAUGCAGUGAAUAUCUUAAAGACAAUAAAGCUCUAUCCACAGAAUUCUGAGGAUGGAGCUGAUGCUGGAAAAUCAGUAUUCUCUUAGGCAAUGUUACAUCAUCUCCUUAUAACUAUGCUACAUGCUCUCAGUAUUAUUUAUAUCAUCUUUCCUUCCCUUCCACCCAACAGUCUCAUUUCAAGAGAUUUAACCUAAAAAGAUACAAGAACAGGUGCACAUAUAUAUAUGGACAAGGUUAUGCAUCACAGCAAUUUUUAAAACAGCAACAAAAAUAAUAGCAAUAUGGUUAAAUGUGUCAAUCAUGUAUUGGCCUAUAAAAGUAUGCUAUUUCAUUAGUCUAUAGACUAAUUGGGCUACAGACUAACCAUUAAAUGCUUUCCUUCAUGUGGCACUAUA
RNAcentral lists this long non-coding RNA (977 nucleotides) under Homo sapiens (human). Its description in RNAcentral is "HSALNT0326246". The record is from RNAcentral. Lineage: Eukaryota; Metazoa; Chordata; Mammalia; Primates; Hominidae.